GACGAACGCUGGCGGCGUGCUUAACACAUGCAAGUCGAACGGUAAGGCCCUUCGGGGUACACGAGUGGCGAACGGGUGAGUAACACGUGGGUGAUCUGCCCUGCACUUCGGGAUAAGCCUGGGAAACUGGGUCUAAUACCGGAUAGGACCCUGGGAUGCAUGUCCUGGGGUGGAAAGCUUUUGCGGUGUGGGAUGGGCCCGCGGCCUAUCGGCUUGUUGGGGGGGUGAUGGCCUAUCAAGGCGACGACGGGUAGCCGGGCGGAGAGGGUGACCGGCCCAACUGGGACGGAGAUACGGCCCGGACUCCUAGGGGGGGCAGCAGUGGGAAAUAUUGCAAAAUGGGCGCAAGCCUGAUGCGGCGACGCCGGGUGAGGGAUGACGGCCUUCGGGUUGUAAACCUCUUUCAGCACCGACGAAGCGAAAGUGACGGUAGGUGCAGAAGAAGGACCGGCCAACUACGUGCCAGCAGCCGCCGUAA
Molecule: ribosomal RNA, 478 nt
Filed under: uncultured bacterium
Lineage: Bacteria
Description: partial 16S ribosomal RNA
Rfam family: Bacterial small subunit ribosomal RNA
Source: RNAcentral